GUCGACGGCCAUCUUCUGAUUGACUGGCGGACGGGUGAGUAACGCGUAAGAAUCUAACUUCAGGACGGGGACAACAGUUGGAAACGACUGCUAAUACCCGAUGUGCCGCAAGGUGAAACCUAUUUGGCCUGGAAAAGACCUUGCGUCUGAUUAGCUAGUUGGGGGGGUAAGGGCCUACCAGGGCGACCAUCAGUAGCUGGUCUAAGAGGAUGAGCAGCCACGCGGGUGAUGAGACCCGGCCCAAAUUCCUAGGGGAGGCAGCGGUGGGGAAUUUUCCGCAAUGGGAAAAAUGCUGACGGAGCAACGCCCCGUGGAGGAGGAAGGUCUUUGGAUUGUAAACCUUUUUUCUCGAGGAAGAAGUUCUGACGGUACUAGAAGAAUCCGCCUCGGCUAACUCCGUGCCAGCCGCCUCGGUAAUACGGGGGAGGCAAGCGUUAAACGGAAUUAUUGGGCGUAAAGCUUCCGCGGGUGGUCAGCCAAGUCUGCCAUCACAUCGGGUUGCUUAACGACCUAAAGGCUGAGGAAACUGACUGACUAGAGAGCAGUAGGGGUAGCAGGAAUUCCCAGUGUAGCGAUUAA
Molecule: ribosomal RNA, 579 nt
Filed under: Microcystis aeruginosa G-01
Lineage: Bacteria; Bacillati; Cyanobacteriota; Cyanophyceae; Chroococcales; Microcystaceae
Description: bacterial SSU rRNA
Rfam family: Bacterial small subunit ribosomal RNA
Source: RNAcentral